Molecule: ribosomal RNA, 621 nt
Filed under: Triticum aestivum (bread wheat)
Lineage: Eukaryota; Viridiplantae; Streptophyta; Magnoliopsida; Poales; Poaceae
Description: partial small subunit ribosomal RNA
Source: RNAcentral
UCUGCUCUUGAUAACUUCGGGAAGGCCACGGGGCUCCGCAUCAACCUGGGAAAAUCGUCGAUAGCACCUAUUAGAUGUGGUAUCGAUCUUCAAGACAUGUUGCAUGGGUUUGGCGGUCCGGUGGUCGGCUUCCCGCUGCGCUACUUAGGCCUCCCCAUUACCAUCUCCCGUGUCCGCCUAGUCCAUGUUCAAUUCAUUCUUGAUCGCAUAAGAGCCAGGCUGGUGGCAUGGAAAGGAUGCCUCCUGUUGAUAGUAGGCCGUAGGGUUUUUGUCCGUUCCGUCCUAACUGUGUUGCCUACCUUCACUCUGACGGUCCUGCGGGCUCCAAAAAAGUUGCUCAAAUACAUCGACAAGUGCAGGCGACGCUUCCUUAGGGCUCAUGAUGAGGAACUCUCCGGUGGCAAAUGCAAGGUCAAUUGGCCCACAGUCUGUUCCCUAAUGGACUACGGGGGCCUCGUCAUUCUUGAUCUGCGGCAGUUCUCUCACGCGAUCAGGCUCAGGUGGCUCUGGUUCCGCUGGCGUAAACCUGAUCGGCCCUGGGCGUGCUCGGAGCUGGCCUGCGAUGACUCAGACAAGAAGCUUUUCGUUGUAGCAACAAAGGUGACUAUUGGCAAUGGUUAA